RNAcentral lists this transfer RNA (66 nucleotides) under Marmota monax (woodchuck). Its description in RNAcentral is "tRNA.Ala". The record is from RNAcentral. Lineage: Eukaryota; Metazoa; Chordata; Mammalia; Rodentia; Sciuridae.
GGCUUGUGGCAGUGGUAGAGCACUUGCCUGGCAUGCGUGAGGUACUGGGUUCUAUCCCCAGCACCA